GAUGGAGUGACACACACUCCCUCCGCUCUCGCCCUCACAGCCGCUCAACCAACGGCCUCGUCUCCCACCAUUGCUGCCUCUCCCUCUCACACCUCGCCGGCACCUCUCCCUCCAUCGCGUCACUGGCGCCUCUCCCUCUCGUGAUGCCAUUGCCUCUCCGUUGGCCCCGUCGCUAUCGCCCCUGAUGUGUUGCGGUGCCAUGAACCGGCCUCACAGGCAUGGCCAAGGUGACGACAGCUCCUCGAUGCCGCCGCCCUCUACAAGGAGCGAUGACAUCUCCAAGCUCUGCGGCACGGCAUGCGCCGAGCGACGCGCCGUGGGGCACCGCCACCUCAGCCACUAGCAUGGCCGACCACCCAUCCACGUGCCCACCGCUGCCGUCGGCUGGCCACAUGACAUCGCUCUCGUCCAGCUCGAAGCACGCGCCAUCAUCGCCCGCCUUCGACUCCUCCAGCAGGUCAAGAAACCGGAACACCCCCCGCGCUUGGCGACCUUGGCAUCUCCAUUGACCGUCUCAGCAAGCGCUACCUCGCCCAGCUCUUGCAUAGACGAUGCAAGCCAAGAAACAGUGAGUGCUGGCAGUAGUACUCUGAAUCCAUCAAUGCAACUGAAUCUAAACAUGUGAAUCAAGCUAUGGCAGGAGUAAGAGAAAAGGAACAAACAUAAAUAAGCUACUUCAAUAUUAUGGUACACAAGGAGUAAGUUUGAGCUAAGUUUUCUCAUGCAUUUCCUAGUAAGUAUAAAAAAAGAUUUAUUUGUAUGAUCCAUGUUUAAUGAAUAUAUAUCCUUUUUACUUUAAUAUAUAUGUUUUUUGUACAACAAACAUUGCCGAUCCAAGGUCCCAAGAAGCCCAAGCCCACUCUCGCAUUCAGUCAUUGCCCUCAUGGGCCAACCAGCACCCACUAACUCCACGUGAUUCUGCUCGGCCAUGUCACUCAACAUGAACAUCUCCUCGAGUAAGUAGCAACACCCCCAUGGUCGUCUAAAUUUUCAUAUUAUUUUUGUGUGUGUGCUGAUGUUGCCUUCUCUUUUCCAUUGCUGAUGAGCUACCCAAGAAUUGAUUUGAUCUCCAUGCACGACUCUGUAGCUCUGACUACCAUCCACCACGGGUACGGAUCAUGUGAUGUGGGGUGUAGACAUGCUGAUUGGAGAAGCCAAUUUUGCCAUGGUCAUUGUCGGUGUCAAAACCGGCAGAUCUCGGGUAGGGGUCCCGAACUGUGUAUCUGAGGAUCGAUAGUAACAAGGGAUGAUUGGGACACGAUGUUUACCCAGGUUCGGGCCCUCUUAAAGGAGUUAAAACCCUAUGUCCUGCUUGAUUGUAUUCAGUGAGUAUAGGGGUUACAAGAGUUGAUAUACCUCCAGAUCGUAAUGGAUAAACCCUAACUGUCUAGCCUAUGAGAAUUCUGAUGAUCUGUACAAACUAAAUCCUCUGGUUUAUAUACACACCGAAGGGCCUAGGGUUGUCUGGAGUCGGUUUGUGGGGGAAGGAAAUAACAUAUCCGGACAACAAUCUUGCCGUUCACGCAUAUAGGAGUCCUACCCAGACACGGGGAAAGUCUUCUGCUUGUAUCUUUACGGCCCAUUAGUCUGGCCCAUAUCAAAUAGCCCGGACACCCGAGGACCCCCUAAUCCAGGACUCCCUCAGUAGCCCCUGAACUUGCCUUCAAUUGACGAUGUAGUAUCCGGCUUAUGUCUUCGGCUUUUGCAAGGCAGGUUCUUCAUUAUACCUCGGACGGAUAAUAGUCCGGCCCCGACUUUCAUGUUCUGCCUUUAUGACUCGUUCCAUAUCGUCGCCUCGCUUUCCACGUGUUGGGCGAAUGUGAACGGUCCAUAAUAAUUUUUACAAAUAAAACCCAUGACCACACCGGGACGCCGCCUAUAUAAAGAGGUUAGAUCCCCAAGUGCCAUCCACAUCGUGCAAAGAACAUCAGGAAUAGCCACGGAAAACUUCAAAACAUGGCCAGCGCUCCCAGCUCUUCUUCGCACCCUCAUGGCCCUCAAGAGGGUGAUUGGCGGAGCUGCUCAGUGUCCCAUGUUCAGCUGAACUGACUUCAGACGCAGGGAUAUCUCCCUCUCGCAGAUCUAGUCCCUGUGCGAGCGGGAUUGGCCUUGAUCGGCAAUGAUGCGCUAGCAGAAAAUUUCCCCAUCCCCAACAAGGAGGAGAGGGUGUGCUUCGUUUCGUUUCUGUUGCAGGGCUUAGGAUUUCCAAUCCAUCCCUUUCUCAGGGGCCUGUUGGAGUUCUACAGAAUCCAGCUGCAAAACCUCACCCCAGGUUCGAUUCUACACAUCUCGGGCUUUGUCGCUCUCUGCGAACUGUUCCUGGGCUGCGAGGCCCAUUUCGAACUAUGGACAAAGUUCUUUUGCCUCAUCCCUCACCAUCGAGGGGGUUCCAUAUUUGAAGUGGGCGGCGCCGAAGUAUGGCACAUAGCCGGAUCAGGCUACCCUAUUGGAACUUCCAAGGAAGUAUCCCAAGAAUGGUCUUCGGAAUGGUUUUAUAAUGAGGACUUCCCCCUUAUGGACCCAGUUUGGCGUGGCCACCCCGAAUUCUCCAGUGCUCCUUUGAAGAAAUGCCUCAAUUGGCACCCCUGGAAUCCCAAGGAGGAAGACAGUGCUGAAGUAAAGAGGUUGGUCAGCAAGGUCAGAUUACUAGCUCAUUCUGAGCUCUCGAUAAUCGAAGUCAUGGCCAUCACAAUAAAACAAUGUAUUCAGCCCCUUCAGUCCAUAGUAACUCCUUUGUGGUAUUAUAACGGAGAAGAUGACGCAUCUCGUUACAGAGACGCAAGGGCCUAGAUACCCCAGCCGAACUAGCCAUAAUCCUGUCUGAUCUGUAUAAGGGGGAGAAAGAAUACUUCCUUCGCUUAAACUGUCGAGAAGGCUUUUCCAUGUACAACCCCAUUGAAUGGUCAUGGAGGAAGGAGGUUGAGAACAUUCAUUGUUCCUCCCCAUAGCUAGAGGAUCAUGCUCGCAAUGAAGACCUCAGCUUCCUCCAGGAUCUGGAUAUAUACAUAGACUUCGAUGAUGGAGUAUUUUAUCAGGCGAGCCUCGACGGCUCGGAGGUGGCAAUUACGGCCGACUACCCGCGCCUUUACCCCUUCUCCAUUGAUCGGUGCUCCGCAAGCCGUACUCCAUCGAGAGCGGCUUCUACACAGGGUGAUCGUUCAAAACGAAAGGAAACCGGAAGCGCAGACGAGCCCCCUCCUCCUUCAAAUAGGAGGAGCACACGACAAACCGUGGGAAAACAUCCCGCCGGCCGUGUAUCGGCUAAUCCGGCCCCGGGCUCAUGAAUCAGGACGAGAGUUGAUACAGUACCAGAUCCACCCCCUCAUGAGGAUUCAGAUGACGUAUCUGUCACGAAUUAGGAGGUGGAGAGCAUGAUGAAUCAUCACCGACUAAAAGAGGCCAUGCACGCUCUAGUUUUUACUAAACAGGAAUCCACCGCCCUCAGCUCCGUAGAUGCAUAUAUCGGGGCAACUCGGGACGGACUUGCCAGAGUUACAUAGCUAUUAUCAAAGGAUAUACAAGUAAUAGCUUGUGCAAAUUUAAUAGAUAUAUGCCAGUAGCCCCUGAGACUUGAAGCGGUUAGACCAACCGAUUUAAGGAUUGUUAUGACCUACAGGUUCUUAGGGAGAAGAAUAAUGCGCUAUCCCAGGAGCUGAAAACAAGCCAUGGAGUUGGUGGAGAUGAAGAAAGCCACAAUGACCACCGAUCAAAAGAACAAGCUCUAGGAGGAAAAAGAUAAGCAAGCCAAAGAGAUGAAGAGCUUAAAGGCUCAGUAAUCGGCCGCGUAGAAAGAAAACGAGAAGUUAAAAGGCGGCAUAUUCGGUAUGACCCGUUGAACCAUCCAAAGGAUUUAUAGUAUCCCAUAGUUCGGAUUGUCACAACAUUGUUGUUGCAGGUCUGUUAACCGGUCAGCCUGAAGAGGAAGUAUCCGGAUUUCUAGGCGACGUCCUUAAGGAACUGUCCAUGGUGCAUGAACGAGCCCGGAAAUCUAUGAGAAGCAUGGCGAGGGCUUUAUGGUCAUCCGAUGCCCCUCCAGAAAGUAUAGAGGGGUUGGCAAACCUGUUCAAAGGUGCCUGGCAUUGUUUCAAGCUAUGGAAGGCGUCCACAUGCCGUGAAGGUGCAUGAGAGGUGUGGGCGAUGGUGAAAACGCGCUACACCGGACUCGAUCCGAACCAUAUGGCCCGGGUUGGCCUUAGGGACCCGAGGGAAAAGACAUUCCCGUGAACUUGGUAUAUGAUCAAGUGGUGAUAGCUGCAAAGUACUCACAAGAAGACUGUAGUUUAGACAGUCUUAUAUAUGGCAUAGAUAAAGAGUAGGCGUUCGAUUCUAUGUAUCAACGUACCUUUAUCAUCGAACUUAUCUCCAACCGAACAUGUCAAAAUUUGUCAUUGCAGGCCUUCAGCUUCAACUUCCAAGCCAGAAAGGUGGAGUGUUUCUGGAUACCAUGUUCGAAUGUAAGAAACAUUCAUUAUGUCUGGUAACCAGGCAACCCGACCGUCUUGCUCAAACAGACAAAAUUUAGUUUGGGGAGUUAUGUUAUAUUACUUAUCUAACGUAAGAAACAUCUUCCAAGGAAAAUAGUUUCGUUGAGAGUUCCUUUCCUUGGGUUGGCAUGCUUAAUUACGCGUGCCUAGGCUUUGAUCCGAAUUACGGGGAGCCUAUCCCGUAUUUUUUAGAAGAGUUACAUAAACGUAAACAAUACGUCGUUGCUUGCCAACCAAUUAUUCUUUUAAGAGCGCUAGCUUUCAGCUUCACCUGUCUGAGGUACAGGUCCAGAUUACCCGGUUGUAACACUCGCAGAGGUGCUCCCUUUACACCCUAGCCGAACAAUCGAGAAUAUAGGGUAUAAACGCAGGAGCGAGGCAACCCAGUGAUAUGUCCCCAACGUAUCUAUAAUUUUUGAUUGCUCC
Molecule: long non-coding RNA, 4910 nt
Organism: Triticum aestivum (bread wheat)
Lineage: Eukaryota; Viridiplantae; Streptophyta; Magnoliopsida; Poales; Poaceae
Exons: 6
Source: RefSeq, a predicted model, not a curated record